This 580-nucleotide ribosomal RNA is filed under the name uncultured bacterium. Its description in RNAcentral is "partial 16S ribosomal RNA". It matches the Rfam family "Bacterial small subunit ribosomal RNA", at positions 355 to 932 of the family's 1533-position model. The record is from RNAcentral.
UGGGGAAUUUUGGACAAUGGGCGAAAGCCUGAUCCAGCAAUGCCGCGUGUGUGAAGAAGGCCUUCGGGUUGUAAAGCACUUUUGUCCGGAAAGAAAUCCUUGGCUCUAAUACAGUCGGGGGAUGACGGUACCGGAAGAAUAAGCACCGGCUAACUACGUGCCAGCAGCCGCGGUAAUACGUAGGGUGCAAGCGUUAAUCGGAAUUACUGGGCGUAAAGCGUGCGCAGGCGGUUUGCUAAGACCGAUGUGAAAUCCCCGGGCUCAACCUGGGAACUGCAUUGGUGACUGGCAGGCUAGAGUAUGGCAGAGGGGGGUAGAAUUCCACGUGUAGCAGUGAAAUGCGUAGAGAUGUGGAGGAAUACCGAUGGCGAAGGCAGCCCCCUGGGCCAAUACUGACGCUCAUGCACGAAAGCGUGGGGAGCAAACAGGAUUAGAUACCCUGGUAGUCCAGCGCCCUAAACGAUGUCAACUAGUUGUUGGGGAUUCAUUUCCUUAGUAACGUAGCUAACGCGUGAAGUUGACCGCCUGGGGAGUACGGUCGCAAGAUUAAAACUUAAAUGAAUUGACGGGGUCAUAGCUG